This 17677-nucleotide long non-coding RNA is filed under the name Glycine max (soybean). RNAcentral's name for it is "long non-coding RNA (GMAX_LNC002114)". Lineage: Eukaryota; Viridiplantae; Streptophyta; Magnoliopsida; Fabales; Fabaceae. The record is from RNAcentral.
UUUAAACUACUCUUUGGUAACCAAUGAUGAAAAUUAACUAACAAAUUCUAAAGUCUAUAUUAGGUUCUGCAGUAUGACAACAAACAAUCCAAUGAUUCAUUGAUCAAGACCAGUCAUAACACAAUAUCUGAUAGACCCCCUAGUACAAGGGCAUAUGCAACAGGUAGACGGGGAAGUUGAGAAUCAGCAAAUAUGAGGGAAAGGAGGAAAGAAUAGUGAAUAUUCAAUUGCAGCAUAACGGGAUGCCCAUCUAGGAGUGAAAAAUGACAGAAUUUGGCUUGGAGGGAUGAGAUAAAUGUGAAGAGCAGAAAGAGCAACAGUUAGGCAAAAUUGUGUAAGAGUUUAGACAGGGAGGUGGGCAGACCCUCAAAAAUCUGUAUGUACUUCUAUAUUUUCUUUCUUUUAGUGUAACCAAGUCAGUUUCCGUAUUGUAAGGAGCUAUACUCCAGUGUAUCUCAUAAAAGUAAAAAUCAGUUCCUAUCAAUAUCUCAAAUUUCUACAAUGGAUUCUUCACAGUUUGAGGAAAAGAAAAACAUAAGUUACAAAACUUCAGGAUUCAGACCAAUUUACCAAAAAUGGUUUCAGUAGUCAGAAAUUUUAGAGCCAAUUUUCAGUUGUAAUAGACACUUUGUCAAUGAAGUUUUAAAACAAAAAAAAAAUGAAAUCGUCAGGAUAUACGAGUCAAGCGUUGAAAAAGGAAAAUAUCUCCAGCUUCAAUCAUUAAAUAUUUAAUCAAAUAUGGAUACAACAAGGGUCAUGCAUGUCACAGGCUUUUGACAUCAACAGAGAAAGCUGUUGUUUAAUUUGGGCUUCCGUACAAUUUUGACAGAUUUUGAAAUAGAAAGUUCACAAAGAAAUUCAUGCUGCAAAUCUCUGGAUCUUCUAAGAUCCAUUGAAUGUAAUGUGCAGCUUGGCAACUAAUGGAAAUUUACAGCAUUGAUUAAUACAAAUAUAAUACCAAACAAUUACAGAAAAGCUAAGCAAAUACUUGUAUUUAAUUCAUAAAUGCACAUACAAUAGGAAGUUACGAACCGAAAUGUUUUUUUUAUUAUUCGCCAUCCUAAAGACAAACUACCAGGUGUCUAUAAAAGGAAGUCAGAUUAAUGUAACAUAAACAUAAAAAUUAGGCAAAGAGAUAGAGCUGCAUAUUUUUCAUUUCCCUUUUAAAUAGGAAAUAGUUUUAUUCAGUUUAAAAACAACCAUAUAUCAUUCAGAAAAAUCCGCAACUUCAUUUAUCAAAGGAUAAAUUAUCCAUUUUAAACAAAAACAUUGUAAAAUGAUCAUGUCAUAAAAUUCAAGAAACCUAAACAUAAACAAAAGGAUAGAAGAAUGCACAAGCAUAAUGGAAUCUUUUCAAAUUGAAACAUCACCAUCAACACAGCAUCAAUAAGCAAACCAAAUUCAAACAAAAAUCAGAAAUGGCUGCAUAAUUUUUUGAGUAAACCAACUAUAUUUUGCCAAUUAAAAGCAAGUACAGGUAAGCAAAAUAAGUGGUAAGACAACUUUCAUAGUUUCAUCCGACAGUUCUCUAUAAAUGGUUGCAUAAUUUUUUGACUAAAUCAACUACAUUUUAGUGGAGGAAAUACUAGAAUGCAAUAUCUAUAAUGAAGCAAAAAUACAAAUCUAACUCUAGGAGAAAAAUAUCAAACACUUUAACAGCCAUUAUAUUAACAGUUAUAGUUGCAGUUAUAUGAUACAAAUGAAAGAAUGAACGGAUAGAUAAGGUUUUCGUUCUUACUGCAACUUCAAUGUAGUCUUUGGGACGUCUAAUUUUCACAAUGGAGCCAAAUAGCAUACUGCCAUCAAAAGAAAGAGCAGCUGAUGCAUCAUCAGCUGUAAGGAACUCUACAAGUGCUUGCCCCUUAUCUUUAUGUAACUGCAGAGAAUAUAUACAAGAACAAAUUCAAACCCAUUGCUUCAUAAGAGGGGGAAAACUAAAUUUUCAUAUUUUGCACUACAGACUCACAAUGCAGCAGAUGCAUGGUUGAGCUUGCUGGAUAUGAUUUACACGGGCAGAGAGCAAGAGGUUAUUGAAACAAUCCAUCACAGCUUUCUCAGAAGCAGAAGCAGGUAAAUUCUCAAGAUAAAGCCUUCUAAUAGGCCGGGUAGCUUGUGUCAAUUGGACAGAAUCAAUGUUGGUAUUCUUCCCUGUUGAUACAUCACUUGGAAAAGACACAGGCAGAGGCUUCACAAGGGCUAGAUCAAGAGAACUAGUUGAAACCACAUCAUGCAUAUUAGACAACACAGCACAAUUUGAUACUGGAAAACUUGAAGAAACAACAGCAGAAGGAUUAUUUGUCCCUGCAGGGGGAAGAUCCCAUCCAGCACGUUUCUUCUCAAGAGAAUGCUUAGAUGGAGAAGGAGUCUUGGCAGCGGCUUCACUUUUCCUCUUCCUUGGAGAAUACCCACCAAGUCCACUUGUGGAGACACCAUGUCGAUGAUGGUGACCACUUGAACCAUUAGUUGAUACUCUAUUUCUAUCAAUAUCAGGGUUCUUAGUUCUAGAACUAUCUUUCAAGGAAUGCAUUGACAACUCUUUGCGCUCUCCAUCUUGAUAAGUACGUUUUUGCUCCCUUGGUGAAAAAGAAGGGGACCUUCUAUCCUCACGCUCUCGACUUCUUGAACAUCUCCUCUUUGCUGUUAAUUCUUCAUUAUGAGACUUCACCUUUACCCGUCUCUCUUUCCUCUCAUAAAUGUGCAUGUUAUGAUGUUUCACAGCAUCUUGUUUUCUUGAUGUAUUCCUGUCUUGAGUUUCAUCAUCACCAUUUUUGUAUUUUCUCUUGGUUUCCCUUUCAUAUUUUGCCCUACCCCCUGCAUGCUUAUCCUUAUCUGAUUCUCUAUAAUGCUUCUUUUCAGGUACUUCUUCAGAGUCAUUGCUUAACCGCUUUUUCAAUUUCCACCUAUUAUCUCUAUCUUUGUCAUGCCUCUUUUCAGUAACAUACAUAUUAUGAUUCUCAUCCCCUCCAAUGUGGUUCUUUUUCUUUAUUUCCCUUUCAGAUUUUGGUCUAUUUGUUUCCACAUAACUAUCCUUAUAAACUGAAUCUCUUGAAUGCUUAUUUCCAGCUCUAUACUCGGAACUAUCAUGAACUCGCUCAUUUUUUUUAUAACCAGACAUCUCUUUUUCAGUCUUUUCUUUGGUUAUCCUGGCUUUAUUAUUUAAUCCAGCACUUGAUUUGGUUUCCAAAAUAUGGUUUGCCCUUCUUUUCCCUUCAGUUAAAUCAUCUUCCUUUACAAUGGCGCUUUCAACUUUCUUUCUAGAUGUUACUUUCACUAAUUCCUCCGAAACAUGUUUCUCCAUGCCAAAGGAUAAACUUUUGUCAUGUUUAUAGAUUCUGGCAGACUUAAAAUGAUCAGUAAUUUUCUCUGAAGAACAUCCAUGUGCAGGGUCUUUUACAUUUUCAAGCAGUUCUUUUUCUUUUGGUGAGUUUCCAAGCAGUUCCUUGUUUCUUCUUCUAAGCAUAAUCUCUUCAAAACUAAAUGGCCUUGUACGGGCUGCACUCUCUUCAUCACAAUUAUGCUCAGAAAGCCAAUUGCUUUUUCCAUGCUUCUCCUUUGAACGAUUAGAUUUGCUCAUCUUGUAUGAUGCCAACCAAUUACAAAAAGAAAUUAAUUGUGUCCCUACUAAGAGAUUAAGGAGAGCAUAACAACAUGCUGAAAUCUUGAAAUUGCAACAACUAUCAAAAGAUAGAUUAUACUGUUCCUGAGGAAGCCAAAAAAGGAAAUACAAUGAGAUCACAACCACAUACAUGCAUCUAUAUGUAACAAUUCAUUCAACUAAAUGAAACAGAAAGUCCAUUUCAAGCAUUAAUAUGUUUGUUGAUUUCUUCCAAUCAUGUUAUGAAGAAAUGAUUAACUACAAAAUGAAUAUAACAUGGAUCAGGCUCCUCUAAUGCAAGCAACUCACUUUUGAGAGUAAAGUGGGCAAUCUAAGUUGUCAAUAAGAAAAACAUAGUUGAUGUUACUUGUGUUUGGGAGUUGGGUUUUGGAGGGGAAGGGAAGAGGAGGAAUUUUUUUUGUUUUAAAUAAAUAUUUUCUAUUUUGAUAUUUUGUAAAUGAAAGAAAUAAAAUAAUAUAUCAGCAUAAAUUUAAAGUCCUGAACUUUUGUUUACUUUUAUAAAUAGUACAUAACUAUCUUCAUUUAAAAAAAAAAAAAAAAAAAAUUGCCCUCCCUCUUCUUCCCCUUCAAAACUCAACUCCCAAUCAGUUUAUAAGGGAAAGGAGUGCCUAGCAUUGUAAUGCAACAACCACAAAAGUCUUAUUCCCCAGGGUGAGAUCCUCUACAUGAAUCAUAGGACAUCAUUGGACUUGGUUAAAUAACAUAGCAUUCUAAUAAAUAAUAAUAAUAAUAAUAAUUUAUUAUUAUUAUUAUGUUAAACUGUAACAAUUAACAAAAUCAACAUAAGCAUGUGUGUGAUUAACAGCACUACUUUCUUUCUUUUCCAUUUACCCUUUGUAAAAUCAAUUUCUCACAUUCUCAACCACCAUAAGUUCCACCUCUGCAAAACACUUAUAUUUACAUACUCAGAAAGCACAGAACUGCUAGUAUUUAUUUUCCCACUAGCCACUGUGAAAUUGAAGUUACACUCACAAAAGCAUUUUUUUUUCAUUUCAAUAAUCUAACCUAUGACCUUAAUGUGCUAAAUUGCAAUUGCAUUCCAUCUCAAUCCCCUAAACUAUAGUCUAUGAUGCUUCAUUGCUUCCCUCUAAAACCCUAACCUAUGACCUUAAUAUGCUAAAUUGCAAUUGCAUUCCAUCUCAAUCCCCUAAACUAUAGUCUAUGAUGCUUCAUUACUUCCCUCUAAAACCCUAACCUAUGACCUUAAUAUGCUAAAUUGCAAUUGCAUUCCAUCUCAAUCCCCUAAACUAUAGUCUACGAUGCUUCAUUGCUUCCCUCUAAAACCCUCGAUGCCUUUCAAAUCAAAUCCCAUUAACUUCAUCGCAACCAAAACCUAAUAUUGAAAAACGGAAAAUGCUACGGCGAAGAAGAGAGACAGAACCUGGAGAGAAGAGAGUUAAGGUUGCGGCGGUUGGCGACGGUAGUAAGGGCGACGAAGCGAAGAGAGUGAGAGCAGUGCGUUAUCUAUAAUUUACGCAAUGCGUAGUAUUCCCUCGUUUCAUCUUCUCCUUUUAUUUCUGAAAUUAAAUUAAAACAAACAAACAAAAAACAAAUAUCCCUUGUAUUUUGGAAUUUAUUUUGAGUUUAAUAGUUUUCAAUAAAAUUUAAUUAAUAGUUUUUACUUUCUCAAUUAAUCAUUUCUAAUAUGUUAUUAUAUAAAAAAAUUACUGAUUAUAUAUUAAGAAAUAUUUAUCAUAAAAAAUAUCGAUUAACCUCGAUUACACCGUAAAUACCCACAAAAGAUAAAUACUUUUUAUUUUGUAUAAUUUAUUUCAUCCUUGUUAAAAUUAAGAUUCAAAUCCAUACUAUUGAGUAAUAAUGUGAAUAUAUUUUUACUAUAUAUUGGUAUGUGUAUUAGAUGACAGUGUUUAUUGUACAUAUUAUUUAUUUCUUAUUUUUUUUGUUAAAAAUAUAUAAAUAAGAUUCUUUUUAUUAAAAAAACACAAUAAAAAUGUAUUGAAAAUCACGUGUGAAUUUUGAUUACAUUAGAAUGAAAAUGAAAAAUUUUAUAAACAUGGAUUCUUCGGAAAAAUGUGUUAAAAAUGAGUUUAAUAAAAAUAUGUAGUUAUUAUAAAAUUUUAUAUUGGUAACCAAUAAAAAAUUACACUUUAUAUGACGUUUAAGGUAAUCUUUUAACAUUUUUAUAUAGAUUAAAAUAGUUAUUUUGAAUGAAAGUUAUUUUAAAAUCAAUUCUCUAACGAUAACAUUUUUAGGAGUUUUUUUUAAUAAAAGUGCUUUUAAGGAUUUUUCUCGAUCUCUUACACUUUUCAAUUUAUUCUUUUUAUUUUUAUUAUAGAAUUAAAUUUUAAUAUUUUUUACAAGAAGCUAUCAAUGGUAAUAAAUAAUAUUAUAUUAAAAUAUAUUUGUUUCUUAUAAAUCUAAAAUAUAAUUUAUAUGUGCAAAAUAUUUAUUUGAUACAAAUUUUAAUUAUACAUAAUUUAUAAAUUCAAAAGUACAUAUUUAUUAUAAAUUUUAUCUAUAUAAAAUAAAUAUUAAUCUUAUAUAUUUCACAUACUAAAAUAUUAGUUAUUUUAUAAAUUAAUAAAUUUAAUAUGAAUGUUAAUUUAUUAUUAGAUGAUCAUGUGGUUGGUUUCAAUAAAAUUUAAAUUAUAAACAAAGUUUUAAGUUUGAAUUUUGUUGCGAUAAAAGACCCUACAAAAGAUAAAUAAUUAAGUUUUUUUGGCAGAAAUUAAUAAUUGAUAAAACUAAUAAAUACAUUAAUAACAUAUAGUGACAAAAAAUUGUAAUUAGAUGAAAAUAUAUAGCACAUUAUUUAUUCCUAAUUUUUUGUGUUUUUUUAGUCUUAAAUAAUAAAUUUUAAGACAAACAAAAAAUUAACAUUUAGUUGAAGCUAAAAGUGAGAAUUAUCAGUCUUAUAAUUCUCCUAAAAUACUAAUACUAAAAAAAAAGUUGAAGCUAAAAGAGAGAAAAUUAUUUGCUAUUAGAACAAAUUUCAUUGUGUAAAACCUCAUAAUUGAACAUAUUUGAGAAUUUUAUUUUAUUUUCCUUUGUUAGUAAAUCAGAUUGGAAGCAUAAACGGCAUUUGAAGCAAUUGAUUUCCUUCAAGUGAGAUGGAAGUACAAUUAAAACCAAGAUUCAUAACACACAACAAAAUGAAAUGGGAGAUUUGAAGAAGAAAAGAAGAUUCAUAACAUAACCAAGAUCCAUAACAACCAAAAUUAGUGACCAAGAUGCAUAACACAACCAAAAUUAAAAAACAAGAUCCAUAACACAGCUAAGAUAAUAAAGUAUAUUUGUUAAAGUUAUACCUAGUAAGUAUCUAUGACAUCAAAUAGAGGAAAACUAGAGAACUUGAGAAGGAGUGUGAGACUUUAUCCAUCCUAGUUGCAGUGCAGGAUCCUUUAAAGCGACAAAGGUAAUCAUGUUUUUCCUUUUCUUCAUAAGUCUAGUAGCCAUGAAAAAUAUAUCAGUCCCAAGCACACAAAUAGUUCCUUUACUGAUAACUUUAUUGUCAAUUUAGACAAACGCUUAUGUUCAUGCAAUUUGUUGGGAUUUAACUGGAAUACCAUGUAGACAUGCAUGUUCAACCAUUAGUUUUAAGGAGGGGACAACACAGGAUUAUGUACACAUACUACAAGAAGGAGUUGUAUAAAUUAUGUUAUGAACAGGUCAUUUCUCCUAUUCAUGGUCAGAAAAGGUGGCAAAAAACUAAUGAAGAGUUGUUGCCACCCCUUUACAUAAAAGGGUCUGGUAGGCUAAAAAAAACUUAGGAGGAGAGAGCGAGAAGAAGGUUCAAAUCCAAGAGAAUUAAGGAGAAUUAACAUUGUUAAUAGAUGUAGCAGAUGUCAUCAAUUAGGUCAUAAUUUGAAAACAUGAAAAAUGCCACCUCCUCGACCUCAAAUAGAAAAAUGUGGAUGGUUCUCAACCACAAACUUUUCAAUGUACUGAUCCAAAUCAAGUUGGUGUCAGCCCAAGUGUCAAUCCUGCUGAUCCAAAUCAAGGUGCUUCUAAUGCAAAUGUCAAUCAUGUUGAACCAAAUCAAGGUAACUCUAGUUCAAGUGUGGAUCCUGCUCAAGCAAAAAAGGUUGCUGCCAGUUCAAUUGUUAUUCUUAAUCAAGCAAAAGAUGUUGCUGCCAAUUCAAGUGUGAUUCCUCCACCAAAGGUAACUUUUGCCUCACCAUGUAACAGACAUCAGUUUAUUGCAAUUUUUCAUUUUUUUAAUGUAAAUUGAUGCUUGCUAUAUGUCUGGGAAAAAAAAAGUUGCUAAGCCAACUGCAAGGUCAACUAGGGGAAAUAAUAAAUCAACACUGAAGACUAAAGGAAAUAUACCAAAGGUAAACCGCACUUUUUACUUUUUUUUUUUUUUAAAGGAUGUACAGUUUUUACAUUUUUUAUCAACUCUGUUGCAAAUUUGGCAAAGAAUUGGAUGAACUUAGCAUAAAAAAUGGUUAGAUUAAAUCAUCCCAGUCUAUUGCUUAAUCCACAUCUACUUAUUAUCAUCUAAUUAUUUGAUUUACUUGCAUUUUCAUGGCAGGACUUCUGCACCAAAUCAAGGUGAUGGUGAACAGCAGUUGCAUCCAAAUAUGAAUAAAGCCCAAGAACUGUCUGAAGGCUAAAAAACUGAAGCUUUGUAUGAGUCAAUAUAAUUGGUAUGGAUUGACCUUUGCAAAUUACCAAUUGAUUGUUAUGUUUUGUGUACCUUACAGCCUAUGAACUCGGCAUGUGAUCAUAAGACCAAGGUCCCCAUCGUGGUCGGAUGACACAUAAGACUCUAUCACUCGUAAUGAACUCAAAGCUUGGUGACCACUAGCUCCCUAUGAUCACGCAUGAUGCUUAGAGGAUUAGUUAGUUAGUCUAACCUCCUCAAGGUUGGACAUGUAUAUAUAGACCCAAAGAAAACACAAUAAGGUACGUUUUCAAUCACUCCAUACAUAGAUGCACAAAACACCUUGGGCUUGACUGACUUAAUCGUCUGAGUCCUUUUUGCAGGCACUUCCUCCAACAUUGGAGUAGGAGAUCGGAGAUUCCAUUAAGAUGAGGAACAAAAGGAGAGAGGUAGACAGCUCAUCAGAAGUCAGCCACAACUCACCAGAACUCAGUCGGAACAUUUAACUCAGCCACAACUCACCGGAACUCAGCCAAAACAUUUAACUCAUCCACAGAGCGCCGAAACUCCACCACAGCUCACCGAAACUCAGCGGGAACAUUUUGUUUGCACAAAGUUGUUUCUUCGUCAAGGAUAAUUAAUAGGUAAAAGCAGAGAGGAGACUGUCCAAGAUGUUGGUGGCUGUCAGAUUUUUUGGAAGACUUUUGACUUAUUAUGAUAUUGGUGUUGGGGAUAUUAUGAACUUUUACAAUGUCUUCAGUUUUGAAUUUAGAUCUAAUUAUUUUGGUGGUCUUUUAAGUCUAAUUUGGUUGUGAGUAAGUCAUGUGGUCCUUAGAGGUUCUAUUUUUUUGGAUGUAAGUGGCCACAUGGAUUCUUGAAAGAUUUGCAUGCAGACAACGUGACUUAUUUGGAUGUGAAUCUUUCAAUUUUGAUGUACUCUAAAGAUUACCCUUAUUGUUUUGGUAAAACUUGGCAGUGUUGUUAAUUCAAAUAUCAGUUAUCAUGUUUAAAGCUUCACACAAUUAUAUGGUACACUAGAUUAAUGGGUGUUUCUAAAAUGCUAACUUGAAAACACCCAUUUGUAUUUACAACAUUGCCGAUUCAGUUGCAAGGACAGGGUUGUUUUUUAUCACUAAGUGGUAUUAUUACAUUCUAAUUGUUAUUCAAGUCAUAAUCACAUAUACAUAGGUGUUUUUCUUUUCUUUUCUAGAUCACAAGUAUCUUCCACUAAAGACAAUCUCAUUCAAAUUUGAUAAAAUUACUAUAACCAACAAAAUUCUCCCUCUAGAUAUUUAACACCACUACAUAAGUGUUUAUAUCCAAGUCUGUUGGACAUUUAGAUCUAACUAUGACUAUAGCAAAAACCUCCCUGUAGAAUAAUAUAAGAACAUUGUAACUGAACAUUAGAAAAACAAAAGACAAUAGGCCUUUCUCAAUUUACUAAAUAUUGAAAUAAGGAAGUCCAAAGUCUAAGCAUGAUGUAAUAAUAAUAAAAAAUUAACAUUGUAACUGAACAUAGCAAUAGCCGAGGUUUUUCUCAAAAAAAAUAAAAAAAAUAGCAAUAGCCGAGGUGUUUCGGAAAAAAAUAACAAUAGCCGAGGUAUUUAACCACUGAGAUCUCUACUUUUUAACCAACACGAUAAUGCUAAAUGGCCUAAACUAAUGAGAGGGACAAAAAUACAAACAGAAAAUUUUUGAGGUGCUAAAAAUAGUCAAAGAUUUUAAUCAGGGACUAAAUAUGAUCAAAUUAUUUUUUUUGAGAGAUUAAAAAAUAAAAAAUAAUUAGGUCCAUUAGCUAUAUGUUUAAUCUCUACAUGACAUGCAGCAUCAGAUUAUGUGAAUAUCACAUUAUCAAUGCCGCAUCAGAUGCUUAUGUAAAUAUCACAUUAUGGUUCAUGUUAAGUGCAAAGACCAAAAAUGUGGAACAGACAAAUUUAUGAGGCACCAAACCCGGUCAAAAACAAUUUAGGGACUAAAAUUGAAAACCUAUAUAAAAUGAAGGCCUAAAAAGUUAAUUAUCCCUUCUUUUUCUUCCUUUGACCAUAUAUUUUGCAGCUAACUUAUAAUUCUCCCAAAAUACAGAUAAAAAACAUUUGACAUUUACUUGAAGCUAAAAGUGAGACAAUUAUUUGCUAUUAGAACCAAUUUCAUUAAGUAGUAAAACCUCAAUUGACAUAUUUGCUAAUUUUCUUUUCUUUUCCUCUGUUGAUAAAUUGGAUAGGAAGCAUAAACAACAUUCGUGGCAACUGAUUUCCUUCAAGCAAAAGACACAAAGCGUAAGAAGCAGUGUACAAAACAGUAACACUGCAUAGAGAUAUAUUAUAUGCUAUAUGUUCAACACUCUCCCAUGGAAAAGAUGAUAAAGAAUAAAGCCAACAUCAACACUGGUUUAACUACUAACAUAUUCAUAUACUACUAGUUUAACUACUAGCAUAUUCAAGUACCACCAGAAAUAGUAGGCAUCCAAAGGCUACACUACAAUAAUAGUGCAGAAUCCACUCUUCCAUAUCUUCAACAUCCCUCUCCUCCCUCCUCUUAUUAUCCGCUUGCUCCUUCAUUUUGUGUUUUCUCUGCGUCGAACAUACCUUGUUCUAUCAUUGUAUCUUGGUCUGUCCUGUUGCCUUUGUGGCUGCGGCUCCACUCUUCUCUGUCUUUCAGGUGGUCUCUGCACAAUCUCUCCAUUCACAAAUAAUUCACCUGCGCAAUUAAUAUAUUUGGAAAGAAUUACCAACCUCAUCAGUAAUGGUAAAUAAUAGAAAAGGAUAAACUAGUGGUUGUUCUAUAAAAGGACAAAACAAAAUUUUGUAAAGAAAAACAUAGGACCUUUGAUUUAUCAUACAAACAAACAAAAACAAGGAACUAAAGCCUCUAAUGAAGGAGUGUAUGUAGCGGGAUAUUAUGCGAUCUGAUGUAUCAACUCCAAUGAUUCUGCAACUACAUAGUUGAUGAAGCAACAGAACAGGAUAGAAGGGAAAUUCUGUCAGUCCAUUAGCAUUCAAAGCUAGACAUUACUCAGAAUGAGUUAUUAGCUUUGCCAAGAUGGACUAUGUAUAAAGGGAGAAUUUUAAUAUAAAAAAUUGAUGUAAUUUGAACAGACUGCAAACCUAGGACAACCUAAAUGUUGUGGACAGCUAUUUUUUACAUAGCAAUGAUAAUGCAUCUUCAUAGCUAUAUGUUUCAUCUCCCACUGAUCUGCAUCUCCACAAAGUAUAUAAAGAGUAGAGAACAGUUAAAGAGAGACAUUUGAUGUAAGUCCAUACAUCAAGCCAAACCUUGCAAGUUGUAAGGCACCCUAGCUAUCUUGCAGAAGAUGGACUGACAUUUCAAAGAAAACAAAUUAAAUGGAAACGUCGAAACUCAUGCAGUCAUGCCACAUUUCACUAUGUUGGUUAGCAGUCAGCACUCAAAUCCUCAAACUAUCAAAGCUAAACCUAGUGUGACACACUAACUAUCCUAGUCAACAGGGAUAGGAGCACAGGACACUCGACAUUUUAUUACUUCGACGGGAAUUCCAGAUUGAAACUUAGAGUCUUAGACCGAUAACAUAUAACCAAUCUUCUAGAAUUGCAAGAAAAAUGGUGGCUGUGAUGAAAAGAGUUAAAAGCCAACACAUCCUUAAAUUCUCACCUCCAUAGUCUUUGUGUUCAGGAUCUACAUAUGAAUCUGGGAGAACAAACAAAACUCCAGGCAAACCUAAUUGAAGAGAAACGAAAAAGUUUGAAUAUUAAAGCAACAAAAUGUAAGUGCUAACAAUAAAGGCACAAAAUUACAACACAUCCAUGACAGACCUUCCAGCUUAUUCGAUGUCUCCUCAUCAAUGUCACAUCCAAAUGCGAAGUACCUCUCACAGGAAACAUUGUAAAUCUUUUUCUUAGCUUCCUCUUCACUGAAAACCAACAUCAGAAACCCCACAUUAUCACAAGCUGUUUCCUAUUUCGAUGAUUAAAAAAAAACACCAAAUAAGCUAAACCUAAUUAAAACAUUCAACCAUUUUAAUUAACAAAAAACAGAAGAAUUCAUUUUUCCAUGCUUAACAAAUAAAUAAACCACAGCUCACAAGAAUACCCAAUAAACUAAAACUAAAAUCAAACAUUAAAAAAAAAAAACCAGCGCAACCCAGAAACCCAAUAAAACACCCUGAAAAAAAAAGAAUAAACUUUCAAUCUUGCCAAGAACCCAUUUCAAGGGUUUCAAUUUCAGAUAGCAAAUAGGAGGAAGCGAGACAUGCCAAGAACCCAGUUUUCUACGGUUAAACCAAAAAAAAAACCCAAUAACCUAAUAAAUUUAAAAAAAAAAAACCAAUAAAAAUAUGAAAUUUCCAAUCCUUAAGCGCAACCCAGAAGCACAUUAAACCAAAAUUAAUUAAAAUUAAAAAACACGUAAAACAGAGUGAAUUUUUUUUGUUUUUAAAAUCUCAAGACUUAAAAAAGAAGAAGUUAAUAACCUAAUCAAAGAGAUAUAUAAAUGGAAACAACAAAAACUGAAAUUGGAAGAACAAGAGAGGGGGAACUCGACCUGCCAAGAACCUUGGCGAGGGUUUGAACGUAGCAAUCUAUCAUCUGUUGCUUGGUAGCGCCUUCGCCGCCGGGCUUGUGGAUGACGACGAGCCAGUGAUGGUAGUCGCAGCCCGGGAACAGGGGCGCCAUGUCCGUCGGAGGGCGCUCCGUGAUCGACGACAAGAUGGAGGUGGGCUUUCCCGUGUUCAGGGGCGAGUACGCCGAGUCUCCGGGGCGGUUGCAGAGGCACCGGACGACGGCGAAGCGGGCGGUGAGGGGCGGAUAGGGGCGGGGAGCGACGGGGAGUGCAGAGGAGAGGAGGCGACGCGAGGCGGCGAUGGAGAGGUGGCGGAGGGAGGUGAGUGGAAGGAGUCGUCGGGCCAUUGCGAAUGACUGAGGAUGGAUGUCUCUGUUAUGCUAAUCCAAAAGGGUGGCGUAGAAUAAGGUUUUUCAAACCAUCUAUUUAACCGAUAAUCUAUCUUCUUUUGAUCAGUUACAAAUAUACACAUACAUCGUGAAUGAGUUAGCAGACACAUCUUCAUAUUUGUAUAUCAAGGCACCAAAAAAUAUCCUGGAAUUAGAGAGCAAAGAUACUUGCAUUAAUUUUAGCAUAAAAUAAUCUUAUAUUGUGAUUCAAUCAAAAAAUACCUUUUAUGAUAAAUUUUAUUGAUUUUUUAUCUUGUUAUCUUUGUAAGACUAUUUUACACGGUUAAUAUAUUAUUAUUAUUAUUAUAUAUUUGUACUCAUUAUAUAAUUUAUUAUAAAUUACAAAAUCAUGAACAAAACUCAUUAAAUUAAUAUGUUAAAAAAAUUGUAAUAUUUAAUAAAAUUCAAUUAAUAGUAAAAAGAAUUUAAUGUUUAUAUAUUAACAAUGUAAAAUAAUUUUAUAGCACCAUCUAAUCAAAUAUCAUCUAAUCAAAUAUCAUCGUUUGAAUUAUUUUAAGAUAAUUAUUUUAAAAAUUAAUAAAUUUAUCAUAAAUAAUGAAUUAUAAUUAAAUGACUAUGUGAAAUUGUUUAUGAGGUGAGUGCAUAACUAUUUUUCUCUAAUAAAUAUAUGUUAAAAAAUGUAUUAUUAACAUAUAUUUUUGGAUUGACUGAGUAUAGGCCUAUGCAUGAGUAAAAUUGCAAUAAUUCCUCAAUAAAAAAAAUAUUAAUCAUUCUAGAAAAGAUUUGAAUGACAAAAGAGAAAUAUAGUAAAAUCACAUAAUAUAAUAUGAUAAUAAUAAAUUUGUUAACUUUUGUAGUGAUCAUCUUUAAAAUCAUAGCAUAGUCAAUUAGUCAUUAAACUCAUAAAAUAGGAGAUAGUAUCAUUAAUUAUAUAAACAUUAAUGAUAAGUGAGACCCAAAAAAUUGUUAACUUUUUUAGAAAUUUAAAUCAUAGAGAAAUCAUUGGAAAAAAAAGUAUUAGAGCAAGUGUCUCUAUAAUUUCUCAAAAAAUAAUGUCAGAAACAAAGUAAACUUAACUCGCUAUCUCAAGGUUUGCAAAUUUUACAACACGAGGCAGAAUAAAGAUGGAUAAAAUGAAUAUUAUUAUGUUUAUUUGACUUGCUCAACCAAGCACAAUACAAGCUUCUCCAUCUUAUAAUUAACUGGCAUUAAAAUACAUGGUGCAAGUGUCAUGAAAUAUCCAAAGCCAUAAAACAUUGUAUAAAUAUGCAUGGCCAACUACUUUUUAUUAUUUAUAAAUCUUAAACACUUUUAUUUUUCUCUUCCAAUGUUUUUCUAUAGACAACACAAAAUAGCACUGAUCAAAUACAACUUGUGGUUGUUACAGAUCAAUGAUAAUUCAUGUGCAGGUAGACUGGUGUUGAAGAUUGCGUAGUUGGUCCUCCAAUGAAGAUACUCACUGUUUUCCCAGUGGCCUUGUUCUUGAAACCAUGUGCUCAGAUUUCUGUUCACAUUAUGCAUAAAAUUUAAGUGAAGGAAAGGAAACACAACAUAAUGCAUUAACUGCUUCCCAAGCAGAACACGAACGAAAAGACGCAAGCAAAACAGUUUUUGGAUAGGAUAGAUCAUAGAUGCAUAGCAAUUGCAAGAGUAAGAAGGUCACAGAAAUAUAAUUAAAAAAUAUAUAUUAAGAACAUGCUCUGUAACACGCUUUUUAUUAUUGACUAAAAUUUAUUGAAAAUCACAGAAUUUUGUAUAUCUCACUUCUGAUUUACUGAGCUCCAUGAUUUUGUAAUUUUCAAUAAAUUUUAACCAAUAAUAGAGUUUCUUAGAAAGAGUCUGAUAUGGUGUGUUGCUAACAUUCCUCUAUAAUUAAUAAGAAUUAGGAUCAUCCUAGAUUUGAGUGGAAGAAAGAGGACAAAAACCAAAAGUUUAAAAGAAAAAAAAGAAUCCAAUACUAUUAUAAUAUCAGAAUGAAUAUGAUGACAACUUUUCCUUAUCAACAAUUAAUUGGCAAUGAUAUAUUCUUAAUCAACAUUGCUGCCAAUUUUCUGCUUCUGCUACCUACUGUCAUCAAGCAUUAGCAUUUUUUUCUUAGUUCUUUUUCCUUUUCCAUUCCUUUUAUUGAUUAUUGUUCUCUAUCUCACAGAAAAAAAGGACUAAGAAGCAACUGACCUGUUCUGAAUGUGGCAAAUAUUUCCCAUCAAAUGUCAAUACCACACGAUCCUUCCCAUCUACUCCUUUAAUUUUAUCAACCGAGCAGUAGAAAUCUAUUGCUGACAUGCUAAACAUGAAAUGGACAAAUAAAUAAUGAGAGAAAUUCUUCAAAGAUAAUCAGACAGUAGUAUUUAUACAUUUAUUUACGCUGCUUUGGGUAUGGCAUUUUUUAUCGCCUCUAACAUCAAUCUCAUAAGCUCACUAUAGUAAUCCUGUUCCAUUCUAAUGUAACUAACUAAUGGGGAACUCACCUGUUAUAACUAACUGAUAAUUGGGGCUACCUAACAUAGUAUAAUGGAUGUGAUUGUGAUAAGCACCACAAAACCUUUACGAAUGGCUAUGUUGAAAGCAAAUUAUCUUUCCCAGUCUCUGGGUGUCUUGGCUCCAUUAAUCAAAACCCUUUAAUUUCAAAUCUUUUUAUAAUACGAUAUUUUCCUUGGCUCUAGGUUUUUCACUUUUAUUAUGCAAGAGGUUCUAAAAUGUCAUCUGUUUAUUGAGACUAAAGACUUAGAUUAUUGCCAUAUUAUUUCUUCUUCAGACAGAAUUCUUUUUUCUUUUCUUUUUAGUUGAAGUAGAAACAAGCAGCAAAUGAGGUUUUUUGAAAAUUAAGAAAAAAAAUAUUAUGCCAUAUAUAUUCACAGAUCAUAUACACCUAAAAGUCCAGACAUCCUGACUUCCUGAGAAUAAUUAGUCAGUGUUUUCAAGUAUUUAAGCCUUCAAUUAUUGAUGGUUAAAAUUGCUGGAACAGUGAUAGCAAAUGGGAUAACCACAAUCAUAGGAAUAUCUAUACAUAAUGUACUAUCCAUUGAAGAUUCUCUCUAACCAUUUCUGCAGCUUGCCUAAGUUGCAUAACAUAGAAGUCUUGUUUUAUCAACUAGUAUCAACACACAUUUAGUGUACAGUUUGCUUCAAAGCUUAAGCAUAAACAACAUGUGUAACCUACUGCAAGAUCAGAAAAUAAAACUAGGUUUUAACAGCAGGAGUUUAUAUUUAAUGGAGAUAGAGAAAUUUAUUUCGGACAGGGACCAAGUAUCAAAACAAAAAUGUUGAGCAUUUCCUUAAACCAAUAUAUCUUUUCUUAUCAAAUCUUCAAAAAAAACAAUCUUUUCUCAUCAAUUAGCUUUAAAGCUGAAUGAACAAGAAAACAUGAUACACUCAACUCAAGUCAUAUAUAGAAAAACACCAAACAACUUCAUCUUGAGCAUUCAUGAGAAAUAUAUCAUUAUGUAAUUGAAACUUACAUCCCAUCACCAAACUCCUCAUUGAUUAUUUCUUUGAUGCUCUCCCCAAAAUGCAUAACAGCUUCAUUCAACCUAUGAAAUAGAAGAUCAGCAUAACCCAACAAAUUAAAUAUAUAUAAAAGGAAGUUGAUAUGCAUUACACUUGACAUAUUUCCAACAUUAGAAUCCUCAAAAACAUGUUACAACAGAACUACCAUGUGCAUACAUGUUGAUCACUUUGGUUUCAUAAGAGUAUGUCCUAAACUCCUCAAAAUGACAUAAACCCUUUGAAGAAACAGAAACAUGUCUACUUAAAGACACCCAUGACAGUUAAAAAAAAUGACAUUUUGACAUCGCUCACCGACAAAUUUACAUCUAAACAUUCAUCAUAAUGUCAUGUUAACACGACAACCUCCCAUACCCAUUUGGCCAUUGCACCAAAGACAAGACAACAAAUGUAUGUUUACUCCACAACAGCUUGAUCAUCAGCAGAGGCACAUAUGAGAACCAAAACUUACGAUUUCCCAUCUCUUAUUUUUACAAUCUUUAAACUAGCUACAUAAAAAUUAAAUUGUGGCGUUUAAUGCUAAUACAUCAUCAUCAGUACAUAAGGUUUUCACAUGUUUACAAUCAUGCUUUGACACAUUAUUGAAAACCUCACAUGAUUGAGUGAAUAUUAAUAAUAAUAAUAAUAAUAAAGAGUCUUAGUUAGUCUCUUAAAUUACAAGAUUAUGCAAUUUUGGUCCCCAGAUUCUUUAUUACACCCCAAUUGGGUCCAUCAGAUUUUCUUUCAUUCACAGUCAGGUUCCUCCAUCCAAUAUUUACCAGAAUUAGCUGGCUUGGCAUACCAGGCAUUAAAAACUGGAAGGACCCAAUUCACAGAAUUGAAACCUAAGACCAAAAUUGCAGACUUGCUAUAAGUGAGAGACUUAAAAUGCAAUAAAUACUAAAAAAAAAAAAAGAGCAAUCGACGAAUUGAAUCAUGAUUAUAUUGAAAGAACCCAUUUCACCUCAGAAGUAAAAAAUCCAACCUUUCACACAAAGAAUAACUAGACAAGUAAAAAUGACAUGUGAAGAGGCACCUAUAGACAGUGGGGUCUUGGAUGAGAUUAGGGUCAUAAGACCUCAAAGGGGGUCUCAUCAUCUCAGAAACAAGGUCUUGGGGCAGGUCGGG